GGCCACCACUCACGCAGGUUGGUCUCCACGGUGUCGGUGGAGAACUCGCAGCGUGGACCGGCGUAGGACGGGCUGCAGAGACAACCGGUGCCAGCAAAAGUCCCCCCGUUCUCACACAGCCCUGGUGGGACACGGGGACAUCAGCCGGGUCACGGGGACACCCCAGCUGAGCGUGGAGGUCAUCUGGGGAGGACUCACCUAAAGGAGGAGCAGUGGUGGUCCAAAGGGUGGUUGGGGUGGUCCCUGGAGUGGUGGACAUUGCUGUGGAGGUCCUCUGGGUGCUCGAGGAGGUCACUGAGGUGGUUGUGGUGGUCCCUGGAGUGGCCGUGGUGAUACCUGGGAUUGUGAUGGGGGUCCCAGAGUUGGUCGUGGAGGUCCCUGAGAUGGUUGUGGAGGUCCCUGGGGUGGAGGACGUGGUCCCUGGAGUGGCCAUGGUGGUCCCUGGAGUAGUUGUGUUGGUCCCUGGGGUGGUUGUGGUGGUCCCUGAGAUGGUCGUGGUGGUCCCAGAGUUGGUCGUGGUGGUUACUGGGAUGGUUGUGGUUGUCCCUGGGGUGGUUGUGGUGGUACCUGGGGCUGUGGUGGUGGUCCCAGAGUUGGUCGUUGUAGUCCCUGGGGUGGUCGUGGUGGUACCCGGGAGGGCUGUGGUGGUACCUAAGUUUGUUGUGGCGGUCCCAGAGGUGGAGGACGUGGUCCUUGGGGUGGUCGUGGUGGCACCCAGGGUGGUCGUAGUGGUCCCUGAGAUGAUUGUGGUGGUCCAUGGGGUGGUCGUGGUGGUCUCUGUAAGGGUCGUGAUGAUCCCUGGGAUAGUCGUGGUGGUCCCUGGGAUGGUUGUGGUGGUCCAUGGGGUGGAGGAGGUGGUCCCUGAUGAGGUCGUGGAGGUCCCUGUAAUGGUUGUGGUGGUACCUGCAGUGGACGUGGUUGUCCCAGAGUUGGUUGUGGUGGUCCCUGAGGAGGUCAUGGAGGUCCCUGGGAUGGUCGUGGUGGUCCCUGGGGUGGUUGCGGUGGUCCAGGGGCUGGAAGAGGUGGUUGCUGCGGUGGUUUUGGUGGUCACUGGGGUGGUCGUGGUGAUACCAGGGACGGUCGUGGUGGUCACAGAGUUGGUUGUGCUGGACCCUGAGGUGGUUGUGGUGGUACUUGGGAUGGUUGUAGAUGUUCCUGGGGUGCUUGUGGUGGACCCUGAGGUUGUUUGGAUGGUCUCAGAGGUGGCUGGGGUGGUCGCAGAGGUGGAGGUGGUCCCCGAGGAGGUUGUGAUGGUCCCUGGUGUGGUCGUGGUGGUCCCUGAUGUGGAGGUGGUGGUCCCAGGGCUGGUUGUGGUGGACCCUGAGGUGGUCGUGGUGGACCCUGAGGUUGUUAGGGUGGUCGCAGAGGUGGUUGGGAUGGUCCCUGAGAUGGUUGUUUGGGUCCCUGGGGUGCUGGUGGUGGUCCCUGAGGAGCUCAUGGUGGUCUCUGAGGUGGAAGAGGUGGUACUUGAGGUGGUUGGGUUGGUCCCAGAGGUGCUCAUGGUGGACCCUGGGGUGGUUGUGGA
Molecule: long non-coding RNA, 1525 nt
Filed under: Lonchura striata (white-rumped munia)
Lineage: Eukaryota; Metazoa; Chordata; Aves; Passeriformes; Estrildidae
Description: domestica (Bengalese finch) lncRNA (ENSLSDG00000002673.1)
Source: RNAcentral